This 77-nucleotide ribosomal RNA is filed under the name Bacillota bacterium. Its description in RNAcentral is "partial 16S ribosomal RNA". It matches the Rfam family "Bacterial small subunit ribosomal RNA", at positions 1457 to 1533 of the family's 1533-position model. Lineage: Bacteria; Bacillati; Bacillota. The record is from RNAcentral.
CUAAGGUAAUACCGAUGACUGGGGUGAAGUCGUAACAAGGUAGCCGUAUCGGAAGGUGCGGCUGGAUCACCUCCUUU